GGGGGUGACAUGGCUUCGACAGGGGAAGCUGAGUAUGUGUGGCAAGCCGCGGCGCCCGAAGCCGCGUCAACAACGGGCAAGGCAUAUAAAUGCCAACGAAAACAACUACGCACUCCCCGUUGCCGCCUAAGGUAAUGUGGUAGUGUUGCUAGCCUUGCGAGGCUAGCCGUCCGCCCCAAUCGUCGCCAUCCGGUUGGAUUGGCGGGCGUCACUAAAGAUGGCGUGCGGUCGCGUUGACGCCGAUACUGCGCACCAAAGACGACAUCGGCUAGUCAUCCGUGUACCGGGUUCACUGGGGCUACGGGCGGCGAAUGCUAACAGUGAACUAAGCUUGUAGAAGCAUAUAUUCGAAUCUCUUGGACAGCGGUUCGAUUCCGCUCACCUCCACUG
This 390-nucleotide transfer-messenger RNA is filed under the name Anaerolineaceae bacterium. It matches the Rfam family "transfer-messenger RNA". From Rfam's summary of the family: Bacterial tmRNA, also known as 10Sa RNA or SsrA, is named for its dual tRNA and mRNA-like properties. RNAcentral also lists the same sequence under 1 other name. Lineage: Bacteria; Bacillati; Chloroflexota; Anaerolineae; Anaerolineales; Anaerolineaceae. The record is from RNAcentral.